This 674-nucleotide ribosomal RNA is filed under the name Escherichia coli. RNAcentral describes it as "partial 23S ribosomal RNA". It matches the Rfam family "Bacterial large subunit ribosomal RNA", at positions 2257 to 2925 of the family's 2925-position model. RNAcentral also lists the same sequence under 1 other name. Lineage: Bacteria; Pseudomonadati; Pseudomonadota; Gammaproteobacteria; Enterobacterales; Enterobacteriaceae. The record is from RNAcentral.
UCUGGUGGGUAGUUUGACUGGGGCGGUCUCCUCCUAAAGAGUAACGGAGGAGCACGAAGGUUGGCUAAUCCUGGUCGGACAUCAGGAGGUUAGUGCAAUGGCAUAAGCCAGCUUGACUGCGAGCGUGACGGCGCGAGCAGGUGCGAAAGCAGGUCAUAGUGAUCCGGUGGUUCUGAAUGGAAGGGCCAUCGCUCAACGGAUAAAAGGUACUCCGGGGAUAACAGGCUGAUACCGCCCAAGAGUUCAUAUCGACGGCGGUGUUUGGCACCUCGAUGUCGGCUCAUCACAUCCUGGGGCUGAAGUAGGUCCCAAGGGUAUGGCUGUUCGCCAUUUAAAGUGGUACGCGAGCUGGGUUUAGAACGUCGUGAGACAGUUCGGUCCCUAUCUGCCGUGGGCGCUGGAGAACUGAGGGGGGCUGCUCCUAGUACGAGAGGACCGGAGUGGACGCAUCACUGGUGUUCGGGUUGUCAUGCCAAUGGCACUGCCCGGUAGCUAAAUGCGGAAGAGAUAAGUGCUGAAAGCAUCUAAGCACGAAACUUGCCCCGAGAUGAGUUCUCCCUGAGACUUAGAGUCUCCUGAAGGAACGUUGAAGACGACGACGUUGAUAGGCCGGGUGUGUAAGCGCAGCGAUGCGUUGAGCUAACCGGUACUAAUGAACCGUGAGGCUUAACCUU